UGGGGAAUCUUGCACAAUGGGGGAAACCCUGAUGCAGCGACGCCGCGUGAACGAUGAAGCCCUUCGGGGUGUAAAGUUCUUUCGACAGGAACGAUAAUGACGGUACCUGAAGAAGAAGCUGCGGCUAACUACGUGCCAGCAGCCGCGGUAAUACGUAGGCAGCGAGCGUUGUUCGGAGUUACUGGGCGUAAAGAGUGCGUAGGCGGCGAGCCAAGUUUGGUGUGAAAUCUCCCGGCUUAACCGGGAGGGUGCGCCGAAAACUGGUUGGCUGGAGUAUGGGAGAGGAAAGCGGAAUUCCUGGUGUAGCGGUGAAAUGCGUAGAUAUCAGGAGGAACACCUGCGGUGUAGACAGCUUUCUGGACCAAAACUGACGCUGAGGCACGAAAGCGUGGGUAGCAAACA
Molecule: ribosomal RNA, 402 nt
Filed under: uncultured bacterium
Lineage: Bacteria
Description: bacterial SSU rRNA
Rfam family: Bacterial small subunit ribosomal RNA
Source: RNAcentral